RNAcentral lists this small RNA (886 nucleotides) under Histoplasma capsulatum var. duboisii H88. RNAcentral's name for it is "Histoplasma capsulatum H88 hypothetical RNA". Lineage: Eukaryota; Fungi; Ascomycota; Eurotiomycetes; Onygenales; Ajellomycetaceae. The record is from RNAcentral.
CCGCAAUCCCUAUCCUCAAGCACCUCUCCAUACAGAGAGCAGCUUCCACCUCCUCUCUUCUCGUUCUCUAUUUAUAAUUAGUCCCUUUUGUCUAAUCCCUAUUUACUUCUUUAAUAAGCCUUUCUCUCAUUUAAUCCCGUAGCAAGCUACGUAAAUCAUGAACUAACAAUGCAUUCGUAUCCCGAUUCACUUCAUCGCUACAUGUUGUUUAACAACAACAGGUAAAACGACAAUGGCCUCCUCCCGCCACCACCACACUCGCCCUCCGCACCAAUCCCGCAUCCCUUCCACAUCUGCAUCCAGCACAACCGCCGCCGCCGCCGCAGCAACAACAUCACGCCGCUCCGCCUCGACCUCUUCCGCCCCUCCAGCUUCAACCGUAGAUCCCGCCGCUCCUAUACGCUCAAACACUCACGCCGCCGGCAGCAACAGCACCACCAACACCGUGCCUACAGCUAUGCCCUCCAUCCGCCGCAACCUCUUCCACCACCAUCACCACCUAAGCCGUCGCCCCGCCUCCUCUACCUCCACCGCGACGCAUAGCUCCGCAUCGACGGUGCAUCCCUCUAGCAUCAAUGCCAACGCCAGUACCGCUACCGCCACCACUGCCAGUGCCAGUGCCAGUGUAAACACCAACACCUCGCGCCCCGCUGCAGCCAGCGCCGGAGCUGCUGCGAACAUCCUCAACCCUGUCCCUGCGAUCUCUCUCAGUGUCCCGCACGCCCACGGGCAAGCGCAUACAUACGGACUUGGGAAUGCCCACGCACAACAGCAAAUAGCCCGCUCAUCCUCGUCCUCAUCUUUGGAUAAUGGAGAGAUCGUCGCACGUGAUAAAAAUGGGGGUUACAAGGUUGAUGUGCCGGUGUUGCCGGUGGGAAUGUGGGAU